GAUGAACGCUGGCGGCGUGCCUAAUACAUGCAAGUCGAGCGAACAGACGAGGAGCUUGCUCCUCUGACGUUAGCGGCGGACGGGUGAGUAACACGUGGAUAACCUACCUAUAAGACUGGGAUAACUUCGGGAAACCGGAGCUAAUACCGGAUAAUAUAUUGAACCGCAUGGUUCAAUAGUGAAUGACGGUUUUGCUGUCACUUAUAGAUGGAUCCGCGCCGCAUUAGCUAGUUGGUAAGGUAACGGCUUACCAAGGCGACGAUGCGUAGCCGACCUGAGAGGGUGAUCGGCCACACUGGAACUGAGACACGGUCCAGACUCCUACGGGAGGCAGCAGUAGGGAAUCUUCCGCAAUGGGCGAAAGCUUGACGGAGCAACGCCGCGUGAGUGAUGAAGGUCUUCGGAUCGUAAAACUCUGUUAUUAGGGAAGAACAAAUGUGUAAGUAACUAUGCACGUCUUGACGGUACCUAAUCAGAAAGCCACGGCUAACUACGUG
Molecule: ribosomal RNA, 497 nt
Filed under: uncultured bacterium
Lineage: Bacteria
Description: partial 16S ribosomal RNA
Rfam family: Bacterial small subunit ribosomal RNA
Source: RNAcentral